RNAcentral lists this long non-coding RNA (331 nucleotides) under Gallus gallus (chicken). RNAcentral describes it as "long non-coding RNA NONGGAT008322". The record is from RNAcentral. Lineage: Eukaryota; Metazoa; Chordata; Aves; Galliformes; Phasianidae.
ACUGUUAAAGGAUAUCACACAUACACAGAUGAGAAAGAAGGAAAGGAACACUGGAUUCCGGUUUUGCAUAAACAAGUCCUGAAGAACUCUGGAAGCCUGUCUGCUUAUUGUUAAGAUUCACUGGAGAGGCAAGGAAAAGCACGUACAGCUAAUGGGGCCAUCUCCCGGGGUCAUCCAGCAGCUGUUCCUGUUGAAUAUUCAAACACACCCAUCCACACCCACCUCCACCCAUGCAGAAAAGGAUUGAAAGGAUCACCAGACAAGAAACAAGAAAGCAAGACUGCUGACAUUUAAAAAUGAAAUUUGCUUUUGGUAAUAAGGGGAUUUCUUC